AUGCUAUCAAACACGCAAGAUGGAGUUGAAACUGUUCGUCUUUGCCUAGCAGCAUCAGAAUUACAAUUUAGCUGUAUCUCAGGUCACAAAAUGCUUUGGAUAGCGUAUGUACUCAUGUCAGUUGCAUUCCAUGUCUUUUGUCUCGUCUAUUUUAUUUGGAUCAGGAGAUGGAAAAUUAAGGUAACCAUUCUCGGUGUCGUCACUAUCAUCCUCACAUCGAGAUGUCUCCAACAAUGCCGCCAUACAUGUCCCUCGUGUUGUCAUUGUCAUCCUGAUAGGCAGCUCGAAUGCUUGGUUAGAGGAUCCCAGGUGCAAGGCAAACCGCCAUCUUCUCUCUCACUGUUCAUCGUCUCUAGACGCACCGCCGUCGACAUCAGCUACCGCCUAUACAUAUGA
RNAcentral lists this ribosomal RNA (396 nucleotides) under Triticum aestivum (bread wheat). Its description in RNAcentral is "partial small subunit ribosomal RNA". The record is from RNAcentral. Lineage: Eukaryota; Viridiplantae; Streptophyta; Magnoliopsida; Poales; Poaceae.